GGCAACCAGCGCUCUACUGAUUUCCAAAUAGCACGUGAGGCCACUGGAGUCUGCAAAACCUUCCUUCCACCGACUGAGUUCCCUGCUGAUGCUAUUUGGAUAAUGUCUAAUUUGCCCUGCGUUUCAGAGAAGAUGGCUAUCUUGCAUAUAACUUAAGAGAAUCCCCCCCAGCUAAAAAUAGAAUUAUCUUAGGAAACACAUUUUUUCUAGGUGUUUUCUCCCUUAAGUCACAUAUUCUAGGGAAGCACUGUUUUUCUGGGAAAUGUUUCCUCCCCGGAGAAUUGUAUCUGCCCCCCUCAUGCACAUUCGUCAUGCCGCCAGCUGUUCUCUGUUGUCGUCACUUGCAGACUGCAGGCUGGGCCCACUCAGGAGUGACUCUCGCCAGGGUGAGAGAAUCUUGCACGAGUGCCUGUCACUCACCAGCUAAGCAUGGAAAAGUACUCCUGGAAAUGUGGCUCCUGGACUCUCUUCUUCAUCCCAGGUGUGUCUUCACUGCGGAGCUGCGCCAACACCUUUCUGCUUUACAACAUCCUUUGCUUACACAAGCCAUCAGGGCGUUCCUGCCAUUCCACCUACCUACCUGGAAACCCAGGUUCCUGUUUCUAAGGAUGAGAUCAGGAAGACAACAGAUUUCUGACUUCUUUUGGAGAAUUAAAAAAUCUGGGACUAGAAGGCUAUUUCCACUUAGCAACUUUCAGAUGGAUCUGACACAGUAACCCACAAAAUGAAUAUGGCCAAACACAGAAGACCAUCUCAUGGCCUGAGGAUCAUGGAGGCGCUCUGUUACUCCCUUCCAGAGAACCUACUGUAGGAAGCAUCACUGACUGAUGGCUUCCCAUGGACACAUCUUUGGAUUCACCACAAUGCUUAUGCCAAGCCUCACUUCUCUCAAGCUACUCUCUGCCAGUAACUAAGCACAACAGGGUACUGGAAUCUAGUCAUCCUUCCCAAUGUGGGAUUUUUCCAAGUGGCAACAUUGCCUUGGAUACUCCCCAUCAGCCUGGCCAAAAUUUUCUGCACUUUGAAACUCUGCCUACUCCAUUGAUCCUUCUCUCCUUCCACGAGUAUUAGAUCUGCAACAUGAUCUGAGGACCCUUCUUACCUGCUCCUGAUUCCCAACCCCUUUUCCUUUACGUGGCCCUCAAGGAUCCCCCUACUCCUGGUAUCCACACCCUUGCAUAGACAUCUCCAAGAUUAGGUUAUAAAAGAGGGGGUCUUCUGUUUUGGGUGCACUUUCUUGCUUGCUUUUGUAAUAUUUCUCUCUGUCUGUCUCUGAUUGCUUGCUCACUCUGAGGAGAACAAAUGCCAUGCUGUGAGCAACCUGUAGAAAGGCCUACAUAAUAAGGAAAUAAAGUUUAUCAGCAAUGUUGGUGAGAGACUGAGACCACUAACAACCAUGUGAGUGAGCCUGGAAGCAGCGACUCUGACCACAGGCAAGCAGGAGAUGAUUAUCUUCCUAGCCAACAACUGGACUGCAACUUCCCGAGAGACUCUGUGCCAGAACCAUCCAACUAAGCCACGUUUAGAUUCUUGACUCUCAGAAAAUGUUAGAUGUAAUAAAUACUUGUUGUUUAAAGCU
This 1579-nucleotide long non-coding RNA is filed under the name Equus caballus (horse). Its description in RNAcentral is "lncRNA (ENSECAG00000029370.3)". The record is from RNAcentral. Lineage: Eukaryota; Metazoa; Chordata; Mammalia; Perissodactyla; Equidae.